Molecule: ribosomal RNA, 485 nt
Filed under: uncultured bacterium
Lineage: Bacteria
Description: SSU rRNA
Rfam family: Bacterial small subunit ribosomal RNA
Source: RNAcentral
AGGACGAACGCUGGCGGCGUGCCUAACACAUGCAAGUCGAACGAGGUCCAUCCGGUAGCAAUACUGGUGAAGAUCAAGUGGCGAACGGGUGAGUAGCACGUGAGCAACCUGCCCCGAAGACCGGGACAACACCGGGAAACCGGUGCUAAUACCGGAUAUCCCCACCGAGUCGCAUGGCUUGGUGAGGAAAUGGAUUCCGCUUCGGGAGGGGCUCGCGGCCUAUCAGCUUGUUGGUGAGGUAACGGCUCACCAAGGCUUCGACGGGUAGCUGGUCUGAGAGGACGAUCAGCCACACUGGGACUGAGACACGGCCCAGACUCCUACGGGAGGCAGCAGUGGGGAAUCUUGCACAAUGGGCGAAAGCCUGAUGCAGCAACGCCGCGUGAGGGACGAAGGCUUUCUGAGUUGUAAACCUCUUUCAGCAGGGACGAUUGUGACGGUACCUGCAGAAGAAGCCCGCAACUACGCGCCAGCAGCCGCGGUAA